GACGAACGCUGGCGGCGUGCUUAACACAUGCAAGUCGAACGGAAAGGCCCUGCUUUUGUGGGGUGCUCGAGUGGCGAACGGGUGAGUAACACGUGAGUAACCUGCCCUUGACUUUGGGAUAACUUCAGGAAACUGGGGCUAAUACCGGAUAGGAGCUCCUGCUGCAUGGUGGGGGUUGGAAAGUUUCGGCGGUUGGGGAUGGACUCGCGGCUUAUCAGGUUGUUGGUGGGGUAGUGGCUUACCAAGGUUUUGACGGGUAGCCGGCCUGAGAGGGGGACCGGCCACAUUGGGACUGAGAUACGGCCCAGACUCCUACGGGAGGCAGCGGUGGGGAAUAUUGCACAAUGGGCGGAAGCCUGAUGCAGCAACGCCGCGUGCGGGAUGACGGCCUUCGGGUUGUAAACCGCUUUCGCCUGUGACGAAGCGUGAGUGACGGUAAUGGGUAAAGAAGCACCGGCUAACUACGUG
Molecule: ribosomal RNA, 468 nt
Filed under: uncultured bacterium
Lineage: Bacteria
Description: partial 16S ribosomal RNA
Rfam family: Bacterial small subunit ribosomal RNA
Source: RNAcentral